GUCGCAACAAUUUUAACGCUGCUAUAACCUAUCGGAAUAAUUUAUCAUUUCGAUGAAGGAGCUUUGGCAGUUAAUUAUUUUUACGACUGUCUCCUGCAUCCUGUCGUGGAGUGUCAUUGUAUUGAAAACUGGAGAUUAUUGAACGAGAUCAUAUUUUGUUUUUACGGUAUAAACAUGAAAGGAGCAGUGUGGUUGAAUUGAUAUUCUUUGAAAUUUCACUGACGAAGUACAUCGAAUAUAUCAGUCUGUCAGAGAAAAUACCUAGGAACAUCAUUCUUCAAAGUCGAGGGUGAAAAUGUGAAACAGACUGAGGAGGCGAAUCCAGGCUUCACACUGGGCCUGCAGCACAAAAACAAUUAAAUAAAUAAAAAAUAUAAUAAAUUGAUCUCAAAAUAUAACUAGAAAAUACGAAACUAGAAUUAUAAUAAAUACGUAGACCAAAUUAUUAAAUACAUAGCCCAAAU
Molecule: long non-coding RNA, 464 nt
Organism: Diachasmimorpha longicaudata
Lineage: Eukaryota; Metazoa; Arthropoda; Insecta; Hymenoptera; Braconidae
Exons: 3
Source: RefSeq, a predicted model, not a curated record